GAGUUUGAUCAUGGCUCAGGAUGAACGCUAGCUACAGGCUUAACACAUGCAAGUCGAGGGGCAGCAUGGUCUUAGCUUGCUAAGGCCGAUGGCGACCGGCGCACGGGUGAGUAACACGUAUCCAACCUGCCGUCUACUCUUGGACAGCCUUCUGAAAGGAAGAUUAAUACAAGAUGGCAUCAUGAGUCCGCAUGUUCACAUGAUUAAAGGUAUUCCGGUAGACGAUGGGGAUGCGUUCCAUUAGAUAGUAGGCGGGGUAACGGCCCACCUAGUCUUCGAUGGAUAGGGGUUCUGAGAGGAAGGUCCCCCACAUUGGAACUGAGACACGGUCCAAACUCCUACGGGAGGCAGCAGUGAGGAAUAUUGGUCAAUGGGCGAGAGCCUGAACCAGCCAAGUAGCGUGAAGGAUGACUGCCCUAUGGGUUGUAAACUUCUUUUAUAAAGGAAUAAAGUCGGGUAUGCAUACCCGUUUGCAUGUACUUUAUGAAUAAGGAUCGGCUAACUCCGUGCCAGCAGCCGCGGUAAUACGGAGGAUCCGAGCGUUAUCCGGAUUUAUUGGGUUUAAAGGGAGCGUAGAUGGAUGUUUAAGUCAGUUGUGAAAGUUUGCGGCUCAACCGUAAAAUUGCAGUUGAUACUGGAUAUCUUGAGUGCAGUUGAGGCAGGCGGAAUUCGUGGUGUAGCGGUGAAAUGCUUAGAUAUCACGAAGAACUCCGAUUGCGAAGGCAGCCUGCUAAGCUGCAACUGACAUUGAGGCUCGAAAGUGUGGGUAUCAAACAGGAUUAGAUACCCUGGUAGUCCACACGGUAAACGAUGAAUACUCGCUGUUUGCGAUAUACUGCAAGCGGCCAAGCGAAAGCGUUAAGUAUUCCACCUGGGGAGUACGCCGGCAACGGUGAAACUCAAAGGAAUUGACGG
RNAcentral lists this ribosomal RNA (915 nucleotides) under uncultured bacterium. RNAcentral describes it as "bacterial SSU rRNA". It matches the Rfam family "Bacterial small subunit ribosomal RNA", at positions 9 to 916 of the family's 1533-position model. The record is from RNAcentral.